RNAcentral lists this ribosomal RNA (434 nucleotides) under uncultured bacterium. RNAcentral's name for it is "bacterial SSU rRNA". It matches the Rfam family "Bacterial small subunit ribosomal RNA", at positions 29 to 507 of the family's 1533-position model. The record is from RNAcentral.
AACGAACGCUGGCGGCAUGCCUAACACAUGCAAGUCGAACGAAGCCUUCGGGCUUAGUGGCGCACGGGUGCGUAACGCGUGGGAAUCUGCCUCUUGCUUCGGAAUAACAGUGGGAAACUACUGCUAAUACCGGAUGAUGUCUUCGGACCAAAGAUUUAUCGGCAAGAGAUGAGCCCGCGUAGGAUUAGGUAGUUGGUGGGGUAAAGGCCUACCAAGCCGACGAUCCUUAGCUGGCUGAGAGGAUGAUCAGCCACACUGGGACUGAGACACGGCCCAGACUCCUACGGGAGGCAGCAGUGGGGAAGUAUUGGACAAUGGGGGCGAACCCUGAUCCAGCAAUGCCGCGUGAGUGAUGAAGGCCUUAGGGUUGUAAAGCUCUUUUACCAGGGAUGAUAAUGACAGUACCUGGAGAAUAAGCUCCGGCUAACUCCGUG